GAUGAACGCUGGCGGCGUGCCUAAUACAUGCAAGUCGAGCGAACGGACGAGAAGCUUGCUUCUCUGAUGUUAGCGGCGGACGGGUGAGUAGCACGUGGAUAACCUACCUAUAAGACUGGGAUAACUUCGGGAAACCGGAGCUAAUACCGGAUAAUAUUUUGAACCGCAUGGUUCAAAAGUGAAAGACGGUCUUGCUGUCGCUUAUAGAUGGAUCCGCGCUGCAUUAGCUAGUUGGUAAGGUAACGGCUUACCAAGGCAACGAUGCAUAGCCGACCUGAGAGGGUGAUCGGCCACACUGGAACUGAGACACGGUCCAGACUCCUACGGGAGGCAGCAGUAGGGAAUCUUCCGCAAUGGGCGAAAGCCUGACGGAGCAACGCCGCGUGAGUGAUGAAGGUCUUCGGAUCGUAAAACUCUGUUAUUAGGGAAGAACAUAUGUGUAAGUAACUGUGCACAUCUUGACGGUACCUAAUCAGAAAGCCACGGCUAACUACGUGCCAGCAGCCGCGGUAAUACGUAGGUGGCAAGCGUUAUCCGGAAUUAUUGGGCGUAAAGCGCGCGUAGGCGGUUUUUUAAGUCUGAUGUGAAAGCCCACGGCUCAACCGUGGAGGGUCAUUGGAAACUGGAAAACUUGAGUGCAGAAGAGGAAAGUGGAAUUCCAUGUGUAGCGGUGAAAUGCGCAGAGAUAUGGAGGAACACCAGUGGCGAAGGCGACUUUCUGGUCUGUAACUGACGCUGAUGUGCGAAAGCGUGGGGAUCAAACAGGAUUAGAUACCCUGGUAGUCCACGCCGUAAACGAUGAGUGCUAAGUGUUAGGGGGUUUCCGCCCCUUAGUGCUGCAGCUAACGCAUUAAGCACUCCGCCUGGGGAGUACGACCGCAAGGUUGAAACUCAAAGGAAUUGACGGGGACCCGCACAAGCGGUGGAGCAUGUGGUUUAAUUCGAAGCAACGCGAAGAACCUUACCAAAUCUUGACAUCCUUUGACAACUCUAGAGAUAGAGCCUUCCCCUUCGGGGGACAAAGUGACAGGUGGUGCAUGGUUGUCGUCAGCUCGUGUCGUGAGAUGUUGGGUUAAGUCCCGCAACGAGCGCAACCCUUAAGCUUAGUUGCCAUCAUUAAGUUGGGCACUCUAAGUUGACUGCCGGUGACAAACUGGAGGAAGGUGGGGAUGACGUCAAAUCAUCAUGCCCCUUAUGAUUUGGGCUACACACGUGCUACAAUGGACAAUACAAAGGGCAGCGAAACCGCGAGGUCAAGCAAAUCCCAUAAAGUUGUUCUCAGUUCGGAUUGUAGUCUGCAACUCGACUACAUGAAGCUGGAAUCGCUAGUAAUCGUAGAUCAGCAUGCUACGGUGAAUACGUUCCCGGGUCU
Molecule: ribosomal RNA, 1372 nt
Filed under: uncultured bacterium
Lineage: Bacteria
Description: bacterial SSU rRNA
Rfam family: Bacterial small subunit ribosomal RNA
Source: RNAcentral